RNAcentral lists this ribosomal RNA (492 nucleotides) under uncultured bacterium. RNAcentral describes it as "partial 16S ribosomal RNA". It matches the Rfam family "Bacterial small subunit ribosomal RNA", at positions 29 to 507 of the family's 1533-position model. The record is from RNAcentral.
CGUGAACGCUGGCGGUAGGCCUAACACAUGCAAGUCGAACGGCAGCACAGUAAGAGCUUGCUCUUACGGGUGGCGAGUGGCGGACGGGUGAGGAAUACAUCGGAAUCUACUUUUUCGUGGGGGAUAACGUAGGGAAACUUACGCUAAUACCGCAUACGACCUACGGGUGAAAGCAGGGGAUCUUCGGACCUUGCGCGAUUGAAUGAGCCGAUGUCGGAUUAGCUAGUUGGCGGGGUAAAGGCCCUCCAAGGCGACGAUCCGUAGCUGGUCUGAGAGGAUGAUCAGCCACACUGGAACUGAGACACGGUCCAGACUCCUACGGGAGGCAGCAGUGGGGAAUAUUGGACAAUGGGCGCAAGCCUGAUCCAGCCAUACCGCGUGGGUGAAGAAGGCCUUCGGGUUGUAAAGCCCUUUUGUUGGGAAAGAAAAGCAGCAGGUUAAUACCCCGCUGUUCUGACGGUACCCAAAGAAUAAGCACCGGCUAACUUCGUG